GACGAACGCUGGCGGCGUGCUUAACACAUGCAAGUCGAACGGAAAGGCCCUGCUUUUGUGGGGUGCUCGAGUGGCGAACGGGUGAGUAACACGUGAGUAACCUGCCCUUGACUUUGGGAUAACUUCAGGUAACUGGGGCUAAUACCGGAUAGGAGCUCCUGCUGCAUGGUGGGGGUUGGAAAGUUUCGGCGGUUGGGGAUGGACUCGCGGCUUAUCAGCUUGUUGGUGGGGUAGUGGCUUACCAAGGCUUUGACGGGUAGCCGGCCUGAGAGGGUGACCGGCCACAUUGGGACUGAGAUACGGCCCAGACUCCUACGGGAGGCAGCAGUGGGGAAUAUUGCACAAUGGGCGGAAGCCUGAUGCAGCAACGCCGCGUGCGGGAUGACGGCCUUCGGGUUGUAAACCGCUUUCGCCUGUGACGAAGCGUGAGUGACGGUAAUGGGUAAAGAAGCACCGGCUAACUACGUGCCAGCAGCCGCGGUGAUACGUAGGGUGCGAGCGUUGUCCGGAUUUAUUGGGCGUAAAGGGCUCGUAGGUGGUUGAUCGCGUCGGAAGUGUAAUCUUGGGGCUUAACCCUGAGCGUGCUUUCGAUACGGGUUGACUUGAGGAAGGUAGGGGAGAAUGGAAUUCCUGGUGGAGCGGUGGAAUGCGCAGAUAUCAGGAGGAACACCAGUGGCGAAGGCGGUUCUCUGGGCCUUUCCUGACGCUGAGGAGCGAAAGCGUGGGGAGCGAACAGGCUUAGAUACCCUGGUAGUCCACGCUGUAAACGGUGGGUACUAGGUGUGGGGUCCAUUCCACGGGUUCCGUGCCGUAGCUAACGCUUUAAGUACCCCGCCUGGGGAGUACGGCCGCAAGGCUAAAACUCAAAGGAAUUGACGGGGCCCCGCACAGGCGGCGGAGCAUGCGGAUUAAUUCGAUGCAACGCGUAGAACCUUACCUGGGUUUGACAUGGAUCGGGAGCGCUCAGAGAUGGGUGUGCCUCUUUUGGGGUCGGUUCACAGGUGGUGCAUGGCUGUCGUCAGCUCGUGUCGUGAGAUGUUGGGUUAAGUCCCGCAACGAGCGCAACCCUUGUUCACUGUUGCCAGCACGUUAUGGUGGGGACUCAGUGGAGACCGCCGGGGUCAACUCGGAGGAAGGUGGGGAUGGCGUCAAGUCAUCAUGCCCCUUAUGUCCAGGGCUUCACGCAUGCUACAAUGGCUGGUACAGAGAGUGGCGAGCCUGUGAGGGUGAGCGAAUCUCGGAAAGCCGGUCUCAGUUCGGAUUGGGGUCUGCAACUCGACCUCAUGAAGUCGGAGUCGCUAGUAAUCGCAGAUCAGCAACGCUGCGGUGAAUACGUUCCCGGGGCU
Molecule: ribosomal RNA, 1346 nt
Filed under: uncultured bacterium
Lineage: Bacteria
Description: bacterial SSU rRNA
Rfam family: Bacterial small subunit ribosomal RNA
Source: RNAcentral